UGGGGAAUAUCGCGCAAUGGGGGAAACCCUGACCCAGCGACGCCGCGUGCGGGAUGACGGCCUUCGGUUUAUAAUCCGCUCUUGAUUGGGAGCAAGCUUUCGGGUGAGUGUACCUUUCGAAUAAGCGUCGCCUAACUACGUGCCAGCAGCCGCGGUAAUACGUAGGGCGCAAGCGUUAUCCGGAAUUAUUUGGCGUAAAGAGCUUGUAGGCGGUUCGUCGCGUCUGGUGUGAAAGCCCAUCGCUUAACGGUGGGGUUGCGCCGAGUACGGGCGGGCUAGAGUGCAGGAGGGGGGACUGGAAUUCCCGGUGUAACGGUGGAAUGUGUAGGUAUCGGGAAGAAGACCAAUGGCGAAGGCAGGCCGCUGGGGUGUUACUGACGCUGAGAAGCGAAAGCGUGGGGAGCGAACAGG
RNAcentral lists this ribosomal RNA (411 nucleotides) under Verrucomicrobiota bacterium. Its description in RNAcentral is "Verrucomicrobia bacterium partial 16S ribosomal RNA". It matches the Rfam family "Bacterial small subunit ribosomal RNA", at positions 355 to 776 of the family's 1533-position model. The record is from RNAcentral. Lineage: Bacteria; Pseudomonadati; Verrucomicrobiota.